CAAAAGAUGGUGAUGGGUAGUCAGGGAUCAUUGCUGGCAUCUGAAGCCAUAACACAGAGACAAAAGAUUAGCCAGACUACAAAACAAUUGCUCUAGUAGUUCAGUUCCAGAAGAUGGUGAUGCAAAAUCAGGAUUCUCCAUGAUCACUGCUGCCAUCUGAAGCCAUAACACAGACCCAAAAGAUUAGCCAGAUUACAUAACAAUUGCUCCUGUAGUUCAGUUCCAGAAGAUGGUAAUGCUAACUCAGGGCUCUCAUUGAUCAUUGCUGCCAUCUGAAGCCAUAACACAGACGCAAAAG
This is a long non-coding RNA of Quercus lobata, 298 nucleotides long. RefSeq lists it as uncharacterized. The transcript is spliced from 3 exons. The record is from RefSeq and is a predicted model, not a curated record. NCBI's taxonomy places the organism in Eukaryota, Viridiplantae, Streptophyta, Magnoliopsida, Fagales, Fagaceae.